Non-coding RNA from Podarcis lilfordi (Lilford's wall lizard), 74 nucleotides. The record is from the annotation of a GenBank genome assembly. Lineage: Eukaryota; Metazoa; Chordata; Lepidosauria; Squamata; Lacertidae.
GGAGAUCUGUAUCUCAGGGGUAGGACAACUGCUUGGCAUGCAGAGGGUCCCAGAUACAAUCCCUGGGAUCUCCA